RNAcentral lists this ribosomal RNA (483 nucleotides) under uncultured bacterium. RNAcentral's name for it is "bacterial SSU rRNA". It matches the Rfam family "Bacterial small subunit ribosomal RNA", at positions 28 to 507 of the family's 1533-position model. The record is from RNAcentral.
GACGAACGCUGGCGGCGUGGAUUAGGCAUGCAAGUCGAACGGUAUCAUCCUUUCGGGGGUGAGAGAGUGGCGAACUGGUGAGUAACACGUAGGUUAUCUACCCUCAAGACGGGGACAACCCAGGGAAACUUGGGCUAAUACCGGAUGUGAGCAACUUUUAGUUGUUUGAAAGGUGGCGUAAGCUGUCGCUUGGGGAUGAGCCUGCGUCCUAUUAGUUAGUUGGUGAGGUAACGGCUCACCUAGGCAAUGAUAGGUAGGCGGCCUUAACGGGUGGUCGCCCACACUGGGAUUGAGAUACGGCCCAGACUCCUACGGGAGGCAGCAGUCGAGAAUAGUCUACAAUGGACGGAAGUCUGAUAGUGCGACGCCGCGUGAACGAAGAAUCCCUUCGGGUGUAAAGUUCUUUAUACGUGAGCAGUGCCCUUUAUAUGAAUAGUAUAGAGGAGGAUUUAAGCGUAUGAAUAAGCAACGGCUAACUCCGUG